AUACCGGCGGCUCGAGUGGUGGCCACUUUUAUUGGGCUUAAAGCGUUCGUAGCUGGGUUGCUAAGUCCCUUGGGAAAUCCGACAGCAUAACUGUCGGGCGUCUAAGGGAUACUGGUAAUCUUGGAACCGGGAGAGGUGAGGGGUACUUCGGGGGUAGGAGUGAAAUCCUGUAAUCCUCGAGGGACCACCUGUGGCGAAGGCGCCUCACCAGAACGGCUUCGACAGUGAGGGACGAAAGCUGGGGGAGC
Molecule: ribosomal RNA, 248 nt
Filed under: uncultured bacterium
Lineage: Bacteria
Description: partial 16S ribosomal RNA
Rfam family: Archaeal small subunit ribosomal RNA
Source: RNAcentral